AGAAAUACUACCGUUAACAAACAUCUUUUCAUUCCAUUCAAAUUCUUUUCAUAAUAUUACUUUUUAAUUUAACCAAGCAUUCAUAUUAUUUUCAGUAGUCCGAUUACACCUAAAAUUAUUUUUCUUUUCUCUUCAAUUUUUUAAAAAUUCAUUCGUCUUCAUUUCCAUCCAUCUAUCAUAUUCUUUUUCCUGUUGCUAAACUAUUUUAAAUUAAACUCGACGUAUUUCAUCUGUUCUGCAUAAUUGAUUCAUCACUGGUUUCUUUGCUAUUUUUCUUUUUCAGUGGGAUUAGAGAACCGCUCUAGCGCAUUGAUUAACUUUUUAAUAAAUUGUUUUUGCAAAAAAUUUCAAUUAAACAAUGAUUCAACCCACUUGCUAUCAUCAUUGACUAGCUCCUUCCUCUCAUAUACUUGCUUCCUUUUCAUAUACAUUCUUCAUCUUAAACAAUUACCAGGUUUCCUUUUGGCAUAAACCUACCCUACCCUACCCUUCUCCAUUUUUUUAAACGCGUUUUUUUUUUGCAACCUUACCAUUCAUCCUUACUAACGAUACAUUUUCUUUUCAUCCACCUUCAUUCUCCUAUAGAAUCACUAUUGUCAGCUACGCAGUUUGGUAUCUGCUGUAACGAUAUUUACGUUAAACUGCGGUGAGUUUCUUUGUGACUUUAAUAUAUAUUAUAACAUACAGGUAUUCUAAGUAGCAAUUGAGUAAAUAUAUUGUAUUAUGUAG
Schizosaccharomyces pombe (fission yeast) is the source of this 729-nucleotide non-coding RNA. The record is from the annotation of a GenBank genome assembly. Lineage: Eukaryota; Fungi; Ascomycota; Schizosaccharomycetes; Schizosaccharomycetales; Schizosaccharomycetaceae.